CGUGCUAGACGGGGAGGUAGCGGUGCCCUGUACCUGCAACCCGCUAGAGCAGGGUUGAAUUCCUGCCAGAGGCUUGGUCUUGUGGGGUCCGGCCGCGGUAAGUGGUGAAGAGAGCUGGGUCCUGCGCAACGUGAAUUCAUGAACCCCGUCAGGCCCGGGAGGGAGCAGCGGUAAGUGAACCCUUGCGUGUGCCGCAGGUGAGCCUGGCUGGAGCUGGCUGCCGUGGUAGCGCCCGGAAGGCCCUGUCGAAGGCAGGUGCACGA
RNAcentral lists this signal recognition particle RNA (263 nucleotides) under Bacillota bacterium. Its description in RNAcentral is "Firmicutes bacterium (anaerobic digester metagenome) partial signal recognition particle sRNA large type". It matches the Rfam family "Bacterial large signal recognition particle RNA". Rfam says of the family: The signal recognition particle (SRP) is a universally conserved ribonucleoprotein involved in the co-translational targeting of proteins to membranes. The record is from RNAcentral. Lineage: Bacteria; Bacillati; Bacillota.